This 467-nucleotide ribosomal RNA is filed under the name uncultured bacterium. RNAcentral describes it as "bacterial SSU rRNA". It matches the Rfam family "Bacterial small subunit ribosomal RNA", at positions 28 to 507 of the family's 1533-position model. The record is from RNAcentral.
GACGAACGCUGGCGGCGUGCCUAACACAUGCAAGUCGAACGGAGAAGUUGAUUUCGGUUGACUUCUUAGUGGCGAACGGGUGAGUAACGCGUGAACAACCUGACCUCAAGAGGGGGAUACCAACGAGAAAUCGUUGUUAAUACCGCAUAAGACCACAGCGCCGCAUGGCAAAGGGGUCAAAGGAGCAAUCCGCUUGAGGAGGGGUUCGCGUCCCAUUAGGUAGUAGGCGGGGUAACGGCCCACCUAGCCAGCGAUGGGUAGCCGAGCUGAGAGGCUGAACGGCCACACUGGAACUGAGACACGGUCCAGACUCCUACGGGAGGCAGCAGUGGGGAAUAUUGGGCAAUGAGCGCAAGCCUGACCCAGCAACGCCGCGUGAGGGAAGAAGGUUUUCGGAUUGUAAACCUCUGUCGCAGAUGACGAAGGAAGUGACGGUAAUCUGUGAGGAAGCCCCGGCUAACUACGUG